RNAcentral lists this ribosomal RNA (697 nucleotides) under uncultured bacterium. Its description in RNAcentral is "bacterial SSU rRNA". It matches the Rfam family "Bacterial small subunit ribosomal RNA", at positions 42 to 699 of the family's 1533-position model. The record is from RNAcentral.
GCGUGGAUUAGGCAUGCAAGUCGAGCGGGAUUAGCUUUUUUCAAUUCUUCGGAAAAGAAAGUUGCUAUGAGAGCGGCGGACGGGUGAGUAAUAUAUGGGCAAUUUGCCUCUUUGUUCGGAAUAGCCAUCGGAAACGGUGAGUAAUGCCGGAUGUGAUCGUCUACCGCAUGGUAGAUUGUUUAAAGGCGGGGAAUCUUCGGAUCCUGUCGCAAAGAGAUAAGCCCGUAUCCUAUCAGCUAGUUGGUGAGGUAACGGCUCACCAAGGCUUACGGGUAGCUGGUCUGAGAGGAUGAUCAGCCACACUGGAACUGAGACACGGUCCAGACUCCUACGGGAGGCUGCAGUCGAGAAUCAUUGUCAAUGCACGAAAGUGUGAACAUGCGACGCCGCGUGGAGGAAGACGGCCUUUGGGUUGUAAACUCCUGUCAGCAGGGAGUAAGGGUAGCAUUACUAAUAGUGGUGUUAUUUGAUAGUACCUGCAGAGGAAGUCACGGCUAACUCUGUGCCAGCAGCCGCGGUAAUACAGAGGUGGCGAACGUUGUUCGGAUUUACUGGGCGUAAAGGGUCCGCAGGCGGUCCGGUGUGUCGGAUGUGAAAGCCCACAGCUUAACUGUGGAAUUGCAUUCGAAACUACCGGACUAGAGUACUGGAGGGGAGAAGGGAACACUUGGUGUAUCGGUGAAAUGCGUAGAUAUCA